RNAcentral lists this long non-coding RNA (2104 nucleotides) under Medicago truncatula (barrel medic). Its description in RNAcentral is "long non-coding RNA (MTRU_LNC003569)". Lineage: Eukaryota; Viridiplantae; Streptophyta; Magnoliopsida; Fabales; Fabaceae. The record is from RNAcentral.
GUACAAGAGUCUCAAAAGCUUAUGCACAAACAGUGCCAACAACUGGUCAAACCAACAAAGCUUACAAAUGAGAACAAGAAAGAUGAAAAUACCCUAAAAAUUUUGAUUCAGUGCGAGACAGAUAUCUCUCUGUUCAUACCUCCUUUUGACAAUCUGAACAAUGAAAAGGAAGACCUAUUGUUGCAAACUUGCUCUCCAAGAACCAGCCCGAUCCAACCAUUAACGAAUCCGCAAUCAUUGCGUUUUACUAAGAAAGACAUGAGAAAUUCUGGGUUGACUUUUACUCUUCUUUUCUCUUUUUUGGUGGCUACUUUUCUCACAUAAAAACUUUGUUCUCAACCCUAAUAUGACAUCUCUCCACUUAUAUAAGUGAGACAUAAUAGGCUAACAUGUUUAGGCUUUUCUCCAUGCAGCAAGUAGCCCAAAACCCAACAAAUAUGCCAUGAGCAAAUGAUCCUGAAAACAAUGAAACACUCUUGUCAGGCCAAAAACUCUUGAGAAAAUGCGUUCUUAAACACAGAACAUAGCAAGCUGUUCUUACGGCCAAGAUAACUAUUUUCAUAAUUGUUGAACAGAAUAAAAGCCCCUACAAUCUAUUAAACUUAUUCAAUGAUCAUAGUAGUCUACUACAACAAAACCCCAAAACAUCAUCAAUGUAUUUGUAGUUGUCAUCAAUCAAGGUCAAUAUAUGUGCCAUUGAUGCUUCCAUCGCUUCUAAAUCAGAUGGGAUUUUGUCAACAGUGGUCAAAUUCAGAUUAUCAACUAUAAAUGCAAGAAGUAAAUACACAAUUAGGAUUUCAAUCAUUCAAGUCAAAGAACAUUCUUGUUCCAUUAUAGGAAACUCAAAGCAACAAACAAAUUAUAUAGUGAUACAACACUGAUGGUACUUGGAGGCUUUCUUCCAUGAAAAAAUGAUACAUAAAUAUAAAUCAGUUAGUAAACAAUAUCGAUAUGAUAUUUAGAUGCAAUCUGUUCGGCAUGAACUAAGCCACUCUCUCAACUAAGAGGCAUUGUUCUGUAGACCCAAAGACACUUCUAUAAAGGAAGAAAAUUAUUAACUCAGAGAACACAAAAUGCAGUUAUGAAAUCAUCCUUAAAAUAGAGAAAUGAUAUUUGUAACAUCAUUUUGGAACAACUUUUAGAUAAUUCUCUCUCAUACACUCGUUGUGUUCUUACCCUCUUCCUCUCUAUUGUUUUUAUCCCAAAAAUUGUAACAAAAUGGUUGCACGAGUAUCUCAAAACCUCUUUUAAAGAGACCAGAUGUCAUACUCUUAAACCAUUUAGGGGAAAAACACCUAAUUUCUAAAGCAACAUUUAUCUGAAGAAAUAUCCUAAAAUAUGUGGGAGCUAUAUUCCAUCCAAAUGUACCAUAUUGCAGCAAACUCGGCUUCUUGACAUAAGAAAUUGGAUACCUUCCAAAGGCAAUUAAACAAGUCAUAAAAAAUGGUCCAAAGACCUGGGACAAACCCAAACAUGUUACUCGGGAUCAUCUUGAUGAUCUCAGCCAUCAAAGUUAAGACUGCAGAUGAUCUAAGUCUUAUCACUCACAAGAAAAUAAACCUCCAGGUUUUCAGGGAAUCAUCAUUUGGUACGGGAUAAGGCAAUAUCAUGCAGGUUUUCCCAAAUACCCGGACACAGUUUUGGUUAUGGUCAAGGAGCAAACAUUCUAUGUGGUUAAGAAAAAAGAUAGAACAAUUAUACUUAGCAGCCAUUUCCAUUAAAAAAACUACUUAGGGAAAGAAAGAGUUGUUUAGGAUGAAAGUGAGAGUUCAGAUCUAGAAUAUAUUAUGCCGAAAUUGUUAUGGUUUAAUCCUAACUUUCAACAUGUUGCCUAGUGUAAAUGUUCAAUCUGAUCAGACAUGGAAUUUCAUUUCCUGAAUACAUUUACAAGUUCCAAAUUGAGUGAGGGUUGUAACUGGAUCAAUAUCAGAACGUUCAAAUCAAGUUGGAUAUUUAUUUCCUAUUCAAGAGCAAGUAGUUGGAUCUUUAUCCCCAUCUCUUAGCCUUGGUCUAUUUGAAAUUGUUGUCAUGGGUAGAAAUGAUGAUGGUUAUCAAGUUGAUUUUGAUACACAAAGUUGGGUCGAGGAUACGGUAAUUGGAUAUA